AGAGUUUGAUCCUGGCUCAGAUUGAACGCUGGCGGCAUGCCUUACACAUGCAAGUCGAACGGCAGCACGGGAGCAAUCCUGGUGGCGAGUGGCGAACGGGUGAGUAAUGUAUCGGAACGUACCUUUCAGUGGGGGAUAACGUAGCGAAAGUUACGCUAAUACCGCAUAUUCUGUGAGCAGGAAAGCAGGGGAUCGCAAGACCUUGCGCUGAUUGAGCGGCCGAUAUCAGAUUAGCUAGUUGGUGAGGUAAAGGCUCACCAAGGCGACGAUCUGUAGCGGGUCUGAGAGGAUGAUCCGCCACACUGGAACUGAGACACGGUCCAGACUCCUACGGGAGGCAGCAGUGGGGAAUUUUGGACAAUGGGGGCAACCCUGAUCCAGCCAUGCCGCGUGAGUGAAGAAGGCCUUCGGGUUGUAAAGCUCUUUCAGCCGGGAAGAAAACGCAUGGGUUAAUA
RNAcentral lists this ribosomal RNA (455 nucleotides) under uncultured bacterium. RNAcentral's name for it is "bacterial SSU rRNA". It matches the Rfam family "Bacterial small subunit ribosomal RNA", at positions 8 to 465 of the family's 1533-position model. The record is from RNAcentral.